This 34-nucleotide transfer RNA is filed under the name Turnera odorata. RNAcentral's name for it is "partial tRNA-Glu". The record is from RNAcentral. Lineage: Eukaryota; Viridiplantae; Streptophyta; Magnoliopsida; Malpighiales; Passifloraceae. RNAcentral also lists the same sequence under 17 other names.
UACCCCCAGGGGAAGUCGAAUCCCCGUUCCCUCC